This 460-nucleotide ribosomal RNA is filed under the name uncultured bacterium. Its description in RNAcentral is "partial 16S ribosomal RNA". It matches the Rfam family "Bacterial small subunit ribosomal RNA", at positions 338 to 795 of the family's 1533-position model. The record is from RNAcentral.
CCUACGGGUGGCUGCAGUGAGGAAUAUUGGUCAAUGGCCGUAAGGCUGAACCAGCCAAGUCGCGUGAAGGAAGAAGGAUCUAUGGUUUGUAAACUUCUUUUAUAGGGGAAUAAAUGUAUCCACGUGUGUAUAUUUGCAUGUACCCUAUGAAUAAGCAUCGGCUAACUCCGUGCCAGCAGCCGCGGUAAUACGGAGGAUGCGAGCGUUAUCCGGAUUUAUUGGGUUUAAAGGGUGCGUAGGUUGUUUUUUAAGUCAGCGGUGAAAGUUUGGGGCUCAACCAUGACAUUGCCUGUGAUACGGGAAGGCUUGAGUGUAGUUGAGGUAGGCGGAAUGCGUGGUGGAGCGGGGAAAUGCAUAGAGAUCACACAGAACACCGAUUGCGAAGGCAGCUUACUAAGCCAUAACUGACGCUGAAGCACGAAAGCGUGGGGAGCAAACAGGAUUAGAUACCCUUGUAGUC